UGUUGGCGGGGAUCACGGAGAUGUAUUAGAAAACCAUGAUGGAUCUUAUAGGUGUUUAAUGCUUUGGGAAAUGCAGCCACUAAAGAUGGAGAUAUUCUUGCCAUUCCCUUUACUGUGUAAUAAUUCAUAUAAUCGUAAGGAAUGGAAUUGAAGAUUGAAAAGGACAUGUGACCUAUGUAGGAUUCAUCUGUGACACAAAAGAAUUUUUCAGGUAAACAAAAUCUCACUGACCAAGGCUAACAUAUGAAAUCAUUCAAUUCAAUUAGUGCAUUGGUAAAUACAAUGCUAUUUUAUACAUUUAGGCUAUGUUUGGGGUAAAUGCAAUAAAUGGCAAUCUACUUGAAAAGUAUGAUGCUAUUGUUAGGAAGAGUGGAAUAUAUUUUCAAAUAAAAUAAAGUUGUAAAAAGUGUUUAUAAUUCACAGUUUAGAUAAAUGCUUUAAUGGUCCAUGUUUGAACAAAAGUAACAUAAAUGAUCCCUGAAUAAGAAAAUUAACAAAAAUGGUAUCUAUUUAACUUUUGUAAUAGACAUAGGUCUUUUCAUGCAGGGACCGUUUAAAAAACAUAACCUAUUCACUACCAAAGACAUAACCGACUUUUUGUUGUAUCUCAAUGCAUAUAUGACUUUCUUAUCUUGAAUUCUUGUUCUUAAUAAUAAUAAUAAUAAUACACUAUUCUAACUUCUUUGCAAUAACUGUAACUAAAAUUUCAACACAUGAAAAUUGAUCCUUCAAUUUUGGAGAUAGAUUGUGAUGUCAUCAUAGAAAAAGGUAUAUUUAGAAAAACACAUAGAACUAAAGUACACAACUAUAUUAAAUUGAUAUAUAAACAUGAAAAAAAAUACAUAUAAAAUGAAAGUGUACUGCUAUUUUAGAAAAUUGGUCCCUAUCGCAGAAAAAAAUAACAUAACUGCUCCAUGUGGCAUAAAAAAUAACAUAACUGGUCCUGUCGCAUAAAAAAAAUAACAUAAUUGGACCUUGUCUAUUCUUUGAAUGGUAAUAAAGUUGCAUAACCAUUUGUUUUUUAUAAGCUGUAAAAAUGUCAUAUAUUGAGACAAAAGCAGCAAUGUACUUUAGAUUCUUGUUAACUGCAUGUAUGAAAAAAAAAUCAUGUAAAAAUGUCAUUUUUUGGGACCAAAGCAACAAUGUACUUUAGAUUUAUGUUAAGUUGCAUGUUUGAAAAAGAAUUAAAAAUCACAUAAAACUAAAGUACACUGUUGUUUAAUGGAUGUCUAAACAUUUUUUUUUGGAUUCCGGUUAAGUUGCAUUUAUUAAAAAGAAAAAAUACACAUAAAAGUAAAGUACACUGCUAAAUUAUAUAAACAUGAAAAAAAAAUGUAUAUAAAAUGAAAGUAUACUUCUAUUUUACGAAACUGGUCCCUUUGGAAGAAUAAAAUAACAUAACUAGUCCCUUUGGCAGAAAAAAUAACAUAACUGGUCCUGUGGCAUAAAAAAACACAUGAAACUACAGUACAAUGCUAUAAUGGAUGUGUAAACUUUCUUUCUAAACUCCAUAGUAGUACCAGAAACAAAUAAACAUACAACAUAUACAAAUAUAAAUCACACCAUACACACAUACCACUUAUGCAUUUAACAAAUGUACAUUGGUAUUUCUUGAAUAUAACACUCCAAAAAGCCAUUUACUUGGUGUAUUUUGAUCUAAACAGAGGCUGUUUAUGUUAAUAGUUUGUAAAUAGGGAAAAAAGAAAUCCAAAACAUAUACACACAUCAUACACACAUACCACUUAUGCAUUUUACAUACUUUUGAUUCAUACAACCAAAAGAGGAAUAAAAUAUACUAAGAACAUGGGGAAUAAAAGAAGAAGAGUGAAGAAGUUAAGAGGCUAAGCUGAUGUAUCGAGGUUAUGUGCUGCAGAAUUAUGAUUAGAUAUACGAUGGAAAAAAUAAUGUUCGAAAACGCCGACAUAAUUACAAUAGUGAGUGGUUAACUUGAAAUACAAAUAUUGUAAUAUUCGUAUCUCUAAAUAAAAAAAGAGUAAAUUACUAGAAUAGUCUAUUUGGUUUAAUAUAGUUUACAUGUUUGGGCUUUAACUUUUUGUUUUAACUUAGAUCGUUCGUAAGGUCUGGUUUUGUUUUGUUUUUUUUUGUCUCUGAUUUAAAAUGACCAAUAUAUUUUUCUUGAUUAUUUUAAUUAUUUCAUUUAUUUUUAACCUUUUGAAGUAAUUCAAAAGUAGUUUAAUAAAUAUGAGUCCCGCACACCUUUUUUUGCGUCCAUCUUUGUCUCUUUUUCUCAUUCCAGUUUUAAGAAACCUACACAGCAGACCUAAAACUUUUGGUAUCCUUCCCCACCACCAACACCGGACCAGACUUCAAACUUUUGAAAAAAAAAAACGGAAUAUAAAAAUAGUUACAAUUAAAAAAAAAAAAGUUAAUUACCCCCCCCCCCCCCCCCCCCCCUACUCGUUUUUGCUCGUCGAGAUUGAAGCUGGUUGGCGUUGCGACCGGAUGAAACGCACAAAAUUUAAACGUUUUCAAACGUUUAAAUGGCAACGGUAUAAAAAAAAAAUUAACUAUUAAAAAAAAUCAUUUACACUAUAAAUACCUAUCAUUUUAUAAAAACUUUCACACAAUUUCUCUUCUCCUCUCUACAUACUUUCAAUUAUAUUAAAAAAAAAUAUGGACCCUUUCGACUCGUCCGAUGAUUCAGAUGACGAUAUUUUCUUCAUGAUGUAUCAUUAUUACACUACCGACCUGCUACAACCAGACCCAGCUCCGCUACUAACAAGACGUGCGGUGUUAAAUAGAAAUCGCGAGGAAGGACACGAACAUCUAUAUCGUGUUUACUUUGCGGAUAAUUGUGUGUACGGGUCAAAGGACUUCAAAAGAAGAUCUCGUUUGAGUAGGAAUAUAUUCCUACGGAUCACCAACGCCUUGGAAAACCGAUAUCGCUUCUUUACUAUACUUUUAUACAAAAUAAAUAAAAAUCUAGUAUAUGUUUCUUUAAUUUUACAACAUAUGCAAUAGAUUUUUAAACUGUAGUUAAUUUAUGUUUAGGUAUGAAUUUUUUCAAUUAAGAUAUGAUGCUAGAGGUAGACGAGGGUUUACAACGUUGCAGAAAUGUGUUGCGGCCAUUCGUUUGAUGGCUAUGGGGGAGUCACCCGACACCAUGGACGCCUAUAUGAGAAUGUCCGAAAGAACUACAAGGGAGAGUUUGUAUACAUUGUCAAUGGGUGUUGUUGAAACAUUUGGAGACGUGUUUUGUGGAAACCUUCGUUGCAUGAUUUGCAAGAAUUGUAUGCGGUGCAUGAAGAACGCCAUGGGUUUCCUGUAAUAAUCGGAAGCAUUGAUUGCACACACUGGAAAUGGAAAAAUUGUCUGGAAGCACAGAAAGGGCAAUACGCAAGUGGUCAUCACAUAUCACCUUCGUUGGUUUUAGAGGCUGUUGCUUCUCAAGAUUUAUGGAUUUGACAUGCAUUUUUUUGGGGUUGCGGGUUCCAACAACGACGUCAACGUUCUUGAUCAAUCGCCAAUAUUCGACGAUCUUUUGAAUGGAAAGGCCCCGGAUGCUCCUUUCACGAUGAAUGGAAACGAAUACAAAUAUGGAUAUUACCUUACAGAUGAAAUAUAUCCUCAGUAUUCUACAUCCGUGAAGGCAUUCCGCCACCCGGUUGAAGAAUGAGACAAUUUUUUAAGAGAAGACAAGAAGGAGCACAUAAGGAUGUGGAACAUGCUUUUAGAGUGCUGAAGGCGAAGUGACAUAUAGUUGAACAUGCAGCACGACCAUUGGAUUUAGAAACUCUAUGACAUAUCAUGUAUGCAUGUAUCAUAAUGCAUAACAUGGUAGUAGAUAAAUGACGAAAUAUAGCACAUUAUAUCCCAACGGAGCCCAUACACGUUCAGUUUCAACCAGAAACAACAUAGUAUUUACAUCAAGUUGUUGACAUUCAGGACGCAAAUAAACAUAGACAACUUCGAGAGGACUUGGCAGAUUAUAUCUUCUAUGGUAACAAUAACAAUAACGAAUAUCGCUGUAUUUUUUUUGGAAUUUGGAUGUUAUGUAUAGUUUAAUUUCUAUGUUAAUUUUAAUCUUUAAAAAUUGUUUUUAUUGUA
Molecule: long non-coding RNA, 4068 nt
Organism: Lactuca sativa (garden lettuce)
Lineage: Eukaryota; Viridiplantae; Streptophyta; Magnoliopsida; Asterales; Asteraceae
Source: RefSeq, a predicted model, not a curated record